This 262-nucleotide ribosomal RNA is filed under the name uncultured bacterium. RNAcentral describes it as "partial 16S ribosomal RNA". It matches the Rfam family "Bacterial small subunit ribosomal RNA", at positions 793 to 1055 of the family's 1533-position model. The record is from RNAcentral.
GUCCACGCCGUAAACGAUGAUUGCUAGUUGUCAGCCGGCAUGCCGGUUGGUGACGCAGCUAACGCAUUAAGCAAUCCGCCUGGGGAGUACGGUCGCAAGAUUAAAACUCAAAGGAAUUGACGGGGGCCCCGCACAAGCGGUGGAGCAUGUGGUUUAAUUCGAAGCAACGCGCAGAACCUUACCACCUUUUGACAUGCCUGGACAUCCCGAGAGAUCGGGCUUUCCCUCGGGGACUGGGACACAGGUGCUGCAUGGCUGUCGU